RNAcentral lists this ribosomal RNA (888 nucleotides) under uncultured Treponema sp. RNAcentral describes it as "partial 23S ribosomal RNA". It matches the Rfam family "Bacterial large subunit ribosomal RNA", at positions 978 to 1858 of the family's 2925-position model. Lineage: Bacteria; Pseudomonadati; Spirochaetota; Spirochaetia; Treponematales; Treponemataceae. The record is from RNAcentral.
UGGGAGUGAGACUGCGGGCGACAAGGUUCGUAGUCGAGAGGGAAACAGCCCUGACCGCCGGCUAAGGUCCCGGAUAGUAUGCUGAGUGUGAAAUGAUGUGUCAUGGCGCAGACAGCCAGGAGGUUGGCUUAGAAGCAGCCAUUCCUUGAAAGAGUGCGUAACAGCUCACUGGUCGAGUCACGGCGCGCAGACAAUGUAACGGGGCUAAGCAUACAACCGAAGCCGCGGAUUCAUAGCGCAAUUUACAGAUGGUAGGGGAGCAUUCCACGGACCGACGAAGGUAAUCUGUAAGGUUUACUGGAGGGGGUGGAAGAGAGAAUGCAGGUAUAAGUAGACGAAAAGACGGGUGAGAUCCCCGUCCGCCGAAAGCCUAAGGAUUCCUGGGUAAAGGUCAUCUGCCCAGGGUAAGUCGGCCCCUAAGACGAGGGCGAAAGCCGUAGUCGAUGGGAAACUGGUUCAAAUUCCAGUACCGUUCUUGGUUUUAUGGGAUGACGCGUGAGGUGAAACCCGGCCGGGUGACGGAUGUCCCGGUCGAAGCUUCGAGUUAGAGGCGGCGGAGAAAACGCCGGCUGGCGAGAAGUGACAGCGAGCGGAGCUACGGCGAAGCGAAGCGGGCGUAAUCAAGGCGCCAAGAAAUAAUCCCCUCUGGUUAGGCCAGGAAGACCGUACCGCAAACCGACACAGGUAGGCGGGAUGAGCAAUCUCAGGCGCUCGAGAGAACUCGCGUUAAGGAACUCGGCAAAAUACGCACGUAACUUCGGGAGAAGUGCGGCCUUCUUUUGUUUAGAAAUAGGUAAAGGAAGGCGACACAAAGCAGUCCCAGGCGACUGUUUAAUCAAAAACACAGGCCUCCGCCAACCAGCAAUGAGACGUAUAGGUGCUGGACAC